UACGUAGGGUGCAAGCGUUAAUCGGAAUUACUGGGCGUAAAGCGUGCGCAGGCGGUUGUGUAAGUCUGUCGUGAAAUCCCCGGGCUCAACCUGGGAAUUGCGAUGGAGACUGCAAGGCUUGAAUCUGGCAGAGGGGGGUAGAAUUCCACGUGUAGCAGUGAAAUGCGUAGAGAUGUGGAGGAACACCGAUGGCGAAGGCAGCCCCCUGGGUCAAGAUUGACGCUCAUGCACGAAAGCGUGGGGAGCAAACAGG
Molecule: ribosomal RNA, 253 nt
Filed under: uncultured bacterium
Lineage: Bacteria
Description: partial 16S ribosomal RNA
Rfam family: Bacterial small subunit ribosomal RNA
Source: RNAcentral